Small nuclear RNA from Dipodomys spectabilis (banner-tailed kangaroo rat), 106 nucleotides. The record is from RefSeq and is a predicted model, not a curated record. NCBI's taxonomy places the organism in Eukaryota, Metazoa, Chordata, Mammalia, Rodentia, Heteromyidae.
AUGGUCACGUCAGCAGCACAUAUACUAAAAAUUGGAAUGAUACAGAGAAGAAUAGCAUGGCCUCUGCGCAAGGAUGAUACACAUUUGUGAAGCAUUCUAUAUUUUU